This 968-nucleotide ribosomal RNA is filed under the name Julia sp. J1. Its description in RNAcentral is "partial 16S ribosomal RNA". The stretch from base 499 to 665 matches the Rfam family "Archaeal large subunit ribosomal RNA", at positions 1884 to 2089 of the family's 2987-position model. The record is from RNAcentral. Lineage: Eukaryota; Metazoa; Mollusca; Gastropoda; Juliidae.
UAUUUUCUUAUUUUAUUUAAUUAAGUUUAGUAUAAAGUAAAGCAGAAGUGUAAUUAUUAAAAUUUUUUAAAGAUUUUACUUUUGGUAUAACGGUUAAACUAUAAGCUUGUUGAAACAACAUUUCCCGAAACAAAAAGAUCUAAGCUUUUAAAUUUUUUAGAAUAUAAUUUUAAUGUGGCAUUAUUAAAAAAAUAUAAGAGUUUAGGAACGAAAAGUCUACAAUUUUUGUGAUAACUGGAUUAUAGAGAAAAGUAUUUAGUACUACUAAUACAUGAGUAAGGUGCCGAGAUCUUACUCAAAAAGAAUACAAUAUAACUAUUUUUUUUACUUUAGGGCUAACCCUCACUAGUUAUUGUAAAAUUAAAAUGCUUCAAAUAAUUAAUCUUUAAUUUUAUCUAUAUUUCCUUAAUAACUUGUUCAAGGAGAAAUAAUGUUUAAAUUAGUAAUAAAUUUAAUGUUAAGUCUAUCAAACUUAAUAAAAGGAACUCGGCAAAUUUUAACCUUAACUGUUUAUCAAAAACAUAGCCUGAAGGUAUUUAUUUCAGGUGAAACCUGCCCAGUGCUAGUAUUUUUUAAAGUAAAUGGCCGCAGUACCUUGACUGUGCUAAGGUAGCGUAAUCAGUUGGCUUUUAAAUGGAGUCGUGUAUGAAUGGAUUUAUGGGGUUAUACUGUCUCUUUUAAGUUUAAUUGAAUUUAGUUAAAGGGUGAAAAUACCCUUGAUUAAGAUAAAGGACGAUAAGACCCUUGGAGUUUUUACUAAUAAGUUUUCAACUUUAUGGUUUUUGCUGGGGCGGCAAAGAGGUACAUGUUAAACCCUCUUACACAAAUUUGCCGAAGAUUUUAAGAGUAAUUAAACUACCCGAGGGAUAACAGCAUUAUUCUUUAUAGAGUUUGUGACCUCGAUGUUGGACUAGGAAUUUACUAGGCUAGCCGCUUAGAUUUAUUGUUCUGUUCGAACUGUUUUUCCU